Long non-coding RNA from Anastrepha ludens (Mexican fruit fly), 368 nucleotides. RefSeq lists it as uncharacterized. The transcript is spliced from 3 exons. The record is from RefSeq and is a predicted model, not a curated record. NCBI's taxonomy places the organism in Eukaryota, Metazoa, Arthropoda, Insecta, Diptera, Tephritidae.
GUUUGAUCCAAGAAAUAAAGUCGACUUAUGUCGAACAAAUAAGUUGUUAUUUGAUCAACAUUUAUUAUUGUAUGGUAGUUCGUUCUGAACGUUUCGAUAUUUUAUAGCUUGACUCGUUUAUUAUGGCAAAUGUUCAGCAAGGUAUUGUACUUUGUCAAAUAUUAAAAAUAAAGAUUUGGUGGAUACAUGGAUUUCAUUGCCCAAAAAACAAAGGAAAAAUAAGUUAGUUGAAAAGGUUCUAAACCUAAUGAGACUUCAGACUGUCACGAAAGCAACUAAGCGGGAAUUUGAAAACUCUGUUGGCAUUUUUUGUGGAAAAAUAAAUAUUAAAUGGCAAAAAAAUCUUCGCAGAAAAGAACAGUUUUUAG